This 122-nucleotide small nucleolar RNA is filed under the name Propithecus coquereli (Coquerel's sifaka). RNAcentral describes it as "Small nucleolar RNA SNORA26 (ENSPCOG00000010227.1)". It matches the Rfam family "Small nucleolar RNA SNORA26". From Rfam's summary of the family: The snoRNA HBI-6 belong to the H/ACA family of snoRNAs, guiding the pseudouridylation of position U4522 if the 28S rRNA. HBI-6 is the human orthologue of mouse MBI-6 snoRNA. Lineage: Eukaryota; Metazoa; Chordata; Mammalia; Primates; Indriidae. The record is from Rfam by way of RNAcentral.
GUGCCCUUUUAAGGUCGACGUGGUGCUUUGAGGGGCUAACACGGAGGGGCAAAGCAAGUCUCCAUAGAACCCAGAGAAGAGGCUGUACAUCUCCUCUCUGCAUCCUGUCUGGAGUCACAGCU